UACAGAGGGGGCAAGCGUUGUUCGGAAUUACUGGGCGUAAAGGGCGCGUAGGCGGCCCGCUAAGUCGAACGUGAAAUCCCUGGGCUCAACCCAGGAACUGCGUCAGAUACUGGCAGGCUUGAAUCCGGGAGAGGGAUGUGGAAUUCCAGGUGUAGCGGUGAAAUGCGUAGAUAUCUGGAGGAACACCGGUGGCGAAGGCGGCAUCCUGGACCGGUAUUGACGCUGAUGCGCGAAAGCCAGGGGAGCAAACGGG
RNAcentral lists this ribosomal RNA (253 nucleotides) under uncultured bacterium. RNAcentral's name for it is "partial 16S ribosomal RNA". It matches the Rfam family "Bacterial small subunit ribosomal RNA", at positions 524 to 776 of the family's 1533-position model. The record is from RNAcentral.